Molecule: ribosomal RNA, 755 nt
Filed under: marine metagenome
Description: bacterial SSU rRNA
Rfam family: Archaeal small subunit ribosomal RNA
Source: RNAcentral
GCCUAGGGGCACGAACCGGAUUAGAUACCCGGGUAGUCCUAGGUGUAAACGCUGUGGACUUGGUGUCGGGAGUCCCUAGAGGGCCCCCGGUGCCGCAGCGAAGGUGUUAAGUCCACUGCCUGGGGAGUACGGUCGCAAGGCUGAAACUUAAAGGAAUUGGCGGGGGAGCACUGCAACGGGAGGAGCGUGCGGUUUAAUUGGAUUCAACGCCGGAAAACUCACCGGGGGCGACGAUUAUAUGAAGGCCAGGUUGAUGACCUUGCCUGAUUUUUCGAGAGGUGGUGCAUGGCCGCCGUCAGUUCGUACCGUAAGGCGUUCUGUUAAGUCAGAUAGCGAACGAGACCCUCAUUGCCAUUUGCUAGGCUCUUCUCAGGAAGGGUUGCACUAUGGCGAUACCGCCACUGCUGAAGUGGAGGAAGGAGGGGGCAACGGUAGGUCAGUAUGCCCCGAAUCUCCCGGGCUACACGCGCGCUACAAAGGGCAGGACAAUGGGCUUCGACGCCGAAAGGCGAAGGCAAUCCCGAAACCUGCUCGUACUUCGGAUUGAGGGCUGCAAUUCGCCCUCAUGAAGCUGGAAUCCGUAGUAAUCGCGGGUCAACAUCCCGCGGUGAAUAUGCCCCUGCUCCUUGCACACACCGCCCGUCAAACCACCUUAGUUGGGUCUGGACGAGGGCUCGCCUUCUGGCGCGCUCGAAUCUGGGUUCAGCGAGGAGGGUUAAGUCGUAACAAGGUAUCCGUAGGGGAACCUGCGGAUG